This 380-nucleotide ribosomal RNA is filed under the name uncultured bacterium. Its description in RNAcentral is "partial 16S ribosomal RNA". It matches the Rfam family "Bacterial small subunit ribosomal RNA", at positions 338 to 710 of the family's 1533-position model. The record is from RNAcentral.
CCUACGGGAGGCAGCAGUGGGGAAUAUUGCGCAAUGGGCGAAAGCCUGACGCAGCGACGCCGCGUGAGGGAUGAAGGUCUUCGGAUCGUUAACCUCUGUCAGCAGGGAAGAACGGUCACUGUGCUAAUCAGCCGUGAAUUGACGGUACCUGCAAAGGAAGCACCGGCUAACUCCGUGCCAGCAGCCGCGGCAAUACGGAGGGGGCGAGCGUUAAUCGGAAUUACUGGGCGUAAAGCGCUCGUAGGUGGUAUGUCAAGUCAAGGGUGAAAUGCCCGCGCUCAACGGGGGAACUGCCUUUGAAACUGGCAGACUGGAGUGUGUGAGAGGUUAGUGGAAUUCGAGGUGUAGGAGUGAAAUCCGUAGAUAUCAGGAGGAACAUC